UCAGGACGAACGCUGGCGGCGUGCCUAACACAUGCAAGUCGAGCGAUGAAACCCUUCGGGGUGGAUUAGCGGCGGACGGGUGAGUAACACGUGGGUAACCUGCCUCAAAGAGGGGGAUAGCCUCCCGAAAGGGAGAUUAAUACCGCAUAACAUUAUUUCUUCGCAUGAAGAGAUAAUCAAAGGAGUAAUCCGCUUUGAGAUGGACCCGCGGCGCAUUAGCUAGUUGGUGAGGUAAUGGCUCACCAAGGCGACGAUGCGUAGCCGACCUGAGAGGGUGAUCGGCCACAUUGGAACUGAGAUACGGUCCAGACUCCUACGGGAGGCAGCAGUGGGGAAUAUUGCGCAAUGGGGGAAACCCUGACGCAAGCAACGCCGCGUGGGUGAAGAAGGCCUUCGGGUUGUAAAGCUCUGUCUUCUGGGACGAUAAUGACGGUACCAGAGGAGGAAGCCACGGCUAACUACGUGCCAGCAGCAGC
Molecule: ribosomal RNA, 476 nt
Filed under: uncultured bacterium
Lineage: Bacteria
Description: bacterial SSU rRNA
Rfam family: Bacterial small subunit ribosomal RNA
Source: RNAcentral